This is a long non-coding RNA of Talpa occidentalis (Iberian mole), 325 nucleotides long. RefSeq lists it as uncharacterized. NCBI's taxonomy places the organism in Eukaryota, Metazoa, Chordata, Mammalia, Eulipotyphla, Talpidae. The transcript has 3 exons. The record is from RefSeq and is a predicted model, not a curated record.
UCCGACGUAGGAACUGAAUGCAAAUAGAACUAUACCUUCCCCCCACGACCCCCGCCCGGACUUCAGUUUGCUGGGUUUCAAGGAUGUCAGAGACCAGCCAGGGGGCAGCUGGAGAAAAGCCGCAGAGGAAGCCGCUGUGAAAGAAGACUGACUUCCCCAAACACUCUGCUGUGAAGAAAUUCAAGUUAGCUACUUGAAGAGGUCCCCAGGGAGCACCACAGCGCUGGACAUGUGAGUGAAGACGUACGUAUUGGACUGUCCAGUUCAGCUGGCAACUAAAUGCAACCAAAGGAAGCAAAAAGAACGGGUCUCCAUAUCCUUGACC